GCCGGGUGCGGUGGCAUGUGCCUGUAAUCCAAGUCACUGGGAGGCUGAGGUUGGUGGAUCAAGUGAGCUGAGGAGCUCUGGGCUGCAGCACGCUAUGUCGAACGGGUGUCCACGCUAAGUUCGGUAUCGAUAUGGUGUUCCUGGGGGAGCCCGGGACCACCAGGUUGUCUAAGGAGGGGUGAACCGGCCCAGGUCGGAAACGAAGCAGGUCAAAUCCCCCGUGCUGUCCAGUAGUGGGAUAAUACCUGUGAGUAGAUGCUGCAGUGCAGCCUUGGCAAAACAUUGAGACCUAGUCUUUU
This 299-nucleotide signal recognition particle RNA is filed under the name Oncorhynchus mykiss (rainbow trout). RNAcentral describes it as "Metazoan signal recognition particle RNA (ENSOMYG00000050700.1)". It matches the Rfam family "Metazoan signal recognition particle RNA". From Rfam's summary of the family: The signal recognition particle (SRP) is a universally conserved ribonucleoprotein. It is involved in the co-translational targeting of proteins to membranes. The eukaryotic SRP consists of a 300-nucleotide 7S RNA and six proteins: SRPs 72, 68, 54, 19, 14, and 9. The record is from RNAcentral. Lineage: Eukaryota; Metazoa; Chordata; Actinopteri; Salmoniformes; Salmonidae.